AACUUACUUCUUUAAACACAUAAUUAUUUUUUGAAAAAUAGACAAUGAAUCUUUUUCUCAAGACUAUGAAUUGAAAAAGUUUGACUAUUCCAAAUUCAAAAUAAAUGUUAGAAUCCUACAAGGAAUUAAAUGCAACAUUCUUAGAAAGUAAUUAUGCAAUCAAUUCUUGUUGAUUUCAUUUUCACUCAAAUUGUACAUUGCAUACUUGAAGGAAAUUGUAAAUCAAAUUCAAUCGAUUAGAGUUGGCCAACAAAAUGAUGGGAUCAAUUUCAAUUUUGCAUAAAAUGAAGCAAUUCUAACACGAACUCAAAUCACACUAUGUUUUAUUAAAACUCUAAUAAGAAUUGUGAAUGCAUUUCAACAAAACUCAACGUUAAUUUCUUAAAAGAAAUAUAAACUGCAUACAAAAAGCACGAGAUGCUUCAAGAAUUCGAGAAACAAACUCAAAGAAUUAAUUUGGAAAUAAAAUACAGAAAAAUUGAAUUGAUGUUCUUGAAAAGGAUUAAGAAAAUAUCUACAAUAACCUUGAAAAAUUAGUGAAAACCCUCCAAAGAAUAGCAAAACCCAAUGCUCUUUACCUCACAAAGUACUUACCCCUCUAUUUGGAUCAAGCAAAUGAGCCGGAAAUUUGAAGAGAAAAAUGGUAGAAAGCUAAGAAAAGCUAAGAAA
Molecule: long non-coding RNA, 669 nt
Filed under: Cucumis sativus (cucumber)
Lineage: Eukaryota; Viridiplantae; Streptophyta; Magnoliopsida; Cucurbitales; Cucurbitaceae
Description: long non-coding RNA (CSAT_LNC001035)
Source: RNAcentral